CUUGUACUCCCUCCGUCCAAAAAUACUUGUCAUAUUGAAAUGGAUGUAUCUAGAUGUAUUUUAGUUCUAGACACAUCCAUUUUGAUGACAAGUAAUUCCGGACGGAGGGAGUACUUG
Molecule: non-coding RNA, 117 nt
Organism: Triticum urartu
Lineage: Eukaryota; Viridiplantae; Streptophyta; Magnoliopsida; Poales; Poaceae
Source: Rfam